AUUGAACGCUGGCGGCAGGCUUAACACAUGCAAGUCGAGCGGGGGAAGGUAGCUUGCUACCGGACCUAGCGGCGGACGGGUGAGUAAUGCUUAGGAAUCUGCCUAUUAGUGGGGGACAACAUCUCGAAAGGGAUGCUAAUACCGCAUACGUCCUACGGGAGAAAGCAGGGGAUCUUCGGACCUUGCGCUAAUAGAUGAGCCUAAGUCGGAUUAGCUAGUUGGUGGGGUAAAGGCCUACCAAGGCGACGAUCUGUAGCGGGUCUGAGAGGAUGAUCCGCCACACUGGGACUGAGACACGGCCCAGACUCCUACGGGAGGCAGCAGUGGGGAAUAUUGGACAAUGGGGGGAACCCUGAUCCAGCCAUGCCGCGUGUGUGAAGAAGGCCUUAUGGUUGUAAAGCACUUUAAGCGAGGAGGAGGCUACUUUAGUUAAUACCUAGAGAUAGUGGACGUUACUCGCAGAAUAAGCACCGGCUAACUCUGUGCCAGCAGCCGCGGUAAUACAGAGGGUGCGAGCGUUAAUCGGAUUUACUGGGCGUAAAGCGUGCGUAGGCGGCUUAUUAAGUCGGAUGUGAAAUCCCCGAGCUUAACUUGGGAAUUGCAUUCGAUACUGGUGAGCUAGAGUAUGGGAGAGGGUGGUAGAAUUCCAGGUGUAGCGGUGAAAUGCGUAGAGAUCUGGAGGAAUACCGAUGGCGAAAGCAGCCAUCUGGCCUAAUACUGACGCUGAGGUACGAAAGCAUGGGGAGCAA
This 749-nucleotide ribosomal RNA is filed under the name Acinetobacter baumannii OIFC143. RNAcentral's name for it is "bacterial SSU rRNA". It matches the Rfam family "Bacterial small subunit ribosomal RNA", at positions 28 to 771 of the family's 1533-position model. The record is from RNAcentral. Lineage: Bacteria; Pseudomonadati; Pseudomonadota; Gammaproteobacteria; Moraxellales; Moraxellaceae.